GGACAGCCAUCGCCGAGUCCCCGUACGGCGCGAGCCAGGGGAGCCGGGGACCCACACGUCCCUGGGGUGAAUCGGACCCCUUGCCGCGAGGCGAGGAGCCCGUAGGAGACCUUCCUGCUCCGAACCCGUCAGCUAACCCGGUAGGCGAGAAGGAAGGAAAG
This is a regulatory RNA element of Streptomyces alboflavus, 161 nucleotides long. It matches the Rfam family "c-di-AMP riboswitch aptamer (ydaO/yuaA leader)". Rfam says of the family: This family represents a conserved RNA structure found upstream of the ydaO and yuaA genes in Bacillus subtilis and related genes in other bacteria. The ydaO/yuaA element is thought to act as a genetic "off" switch for the ydaO and yuaA genes in its native state. Lineage: Bacteria; Bacillati; Actinomycetota; Actinomycetes; Kitasatosporales; Streptomycetaceae. The record is from Rfam.